Non-coding RNA from Podarcis lilfordi (Lilford's wall lizard), 78 nucleotides. The record is from the annotation of a GenBank genome assembly. NCBI's taxonomy places the organism in Eukaryota, Metazoa, Chordata, Lepidosauria, Squamata, Lacertidae.
GGAUACCCUAAGUUAAAUUCAUGGUACAGCAUCUGCUUUGCAUGCAAAAGAUUCCAGGUUCAAUCCCUGGCAUCUCCA